CAUGGGCCAAAUUGACCACAGAAUUGAUUAAGCACCAGGUAAUUAACCUAUUAACAAGUGAUUCAGCAGGAGGGAAGAGCUGGGAGAAAAGGCUGGAGAAACCUGGGAUCUCACAGAGGGGAAAUCUCCCAAGCAUCUGGGGAAAAGAUGGAAUCACAUAUCUGAGUUUGAAAAUACCUGAAUCUCACUUAUCUAUUCUACAGAGAACUAGGGUUGGAAGUCAUGAAGGCGCCCCCAUCAAGAGCAGAAUGUACUUGUGAAACUGUGACAGGUGUGCUUGGGUGAAAGCUGUUCCUGAUUACUUCAAUCAGAUGUGCAAGGCAAUAUAUACAAAAGUCAGUGAUAUUAAGCAACUGUCAGGCAGAAAAAAUCUAUUACAUUGAUGAUGCAGAUGUCUCUUCAGCCAAAAAUAGAAAAGAAAUGAAGAUGAAACAGCUGUUCCAAGAAACAUCAGUGGAAUCCACAUAAAAUGUUUUGCUUUUUGGACUCAGCCAACACAAGAGGGAGUUAGCCCUGCCAAUCUACAGAAGUCUUGUUGAGGAUACUAUGUACUUUAUAGAAAUAGUAUCUUUGCCAUUAACUUUUAGAAAAAUUAAAGUGGUAUAUUGUGAGAUGCAAGGGAAUUUGAACCUUUUGUUCCAAGAACUCCACAGGGGGGAAAUGUUUUUUCUCCAAAGCAAAACUAAUGCAUCUUCUUGAGCAUUUGCUCUUUUAAUGUAUUUGUCAGUAAACAUGAGAGGAAAAACUACCCUAAGCUCCAGUGAAGGUCCCAGUUGUUGAGCCCUGGAGGAGUUGAAUACUCUUGACCCCCAGUGGUGUCAACAGAAGCUUGAAUGUACUCAGUGUGAAAGGCCUCAAAACAUCUAGCUUUCUAACCCCAACUGUAAGCCAAGAGCAGAUCCCUUCCUUCCACUAGAAAAAAUAAAAUAUUACCUCCUAAUACCCUCCCCCAACCCCCAAGAAACACAAAACAAAACACCAAGAAAAGUGUAAAUCUUUGGGUUGAAAUUAUUCUUCAUGUGAGCUAGA
Molecule: long non-coding RNA, 1029 nt
Organism: Chelonia mydas (Green sea turtle)
Lineage: Eukaryota; Metazoa; Chordata; Testudines; Cheloniidae
Exons: 5
Source: RefSeq, a predicted model, not a curated record